AAACGACAACUAUGCUCCGGUUGCUCAGGCUGCGUAACGCAGUUUGAAAGACCAAAUCUAAAGUCCUGAUGGGUUAAGCUCCGUCAGGCGGGGUUCGGAGGCACCUGGCAACAGAAGCCUCCACU
This 125-nucleotide transfer-messenger RNA is filed under the name Bradyrhizobium sp. RNAcentral's name for it is "partial transfer-messenger RNA". It matches the Rfam family "Alphaproteobacteria transfer-messenger RNA", at positions 234 to 355 of the family's 355-position model. From Rfam's summary of the family: Bacterial tmRNA, also known as 10Sa RNA or SsrA, is named for its dual tRNA and mRNA-like properties. Lineage: Bacteria; Pseudomonadati; Pseudomonadota; Alphaproteobacteria; Hyphomicrobiales; Nitrobacteraceae. The record is from RNAcentral.